CUUAACACCCUCUCUUUGGGGCUGGCUGUGAUUUCCCAUUGCAAACACAAGCUCUUCCAGCACUCUCAGUGUUGGGUGGUGGGACAGAGCUGACCCAUGCUGCAGGCUCACCUUCCACCACUCAAAGCUACUGUCCUGCAACCACCUCCAACCUGGAGGCAUGGCAGACAUUGGAGGAUCUUCCCUCCUAAGGCUGCAUCCUUAUGGAAAAGAGUGAUGAAAAGCCUGGGAAAAGAGUCUGGGAUUCCCCACCCUCCAUCCUCUUCCCUCUUCUCUGCUUGCUGCUAGCCAGGACUGCAGGGCCCUGCCAGCCACACAUUCCCAAGCCCUGGGGCAGGAGGGAGGAGGAUGAGGAGCAGGGCACAAAGAUGAAGUUAGGCAAGGCAGCCGAGCUGUGCAGCUGCUGUGGAAGGAGCUGAAUUGCACCUCACAGCAGUAGCCAGGACUUUGAUCUGCUCAAACUUUCCUUGCUUCAUGCUCAGCAUCCCUAUAUUCCAAAAGCAGUCUUCCAGCAAGGAAAACAGGGAGGGAAAUAAAAUGAGAGCCUUGUCUCACCUUUCCAUGGCACAGGACAAGGAGGAAUCACCUCACACUGCCAGAGGGCAGGGUUAGAUGGGAUAUUGGGAAGAACUCCUCCUCUAUGAGGGUGCUGAGGCCCUGGCACAGGGUGCCCAGAGCAGCUGUGGCUGCCCUGGAUCCCUGGAAGUGUCCAAGGCCAGGUUGGACAGGGCUUGGAGCAACCUGGGACACUGGAAGGUGUCCCUGCCCAUGGCAGGGGGUUGGGAAUGAGAUGAGUUUUAAGGUCCCUUUCAACUCAAAGCAUUCUGUGAUUCUUUGCUUCUCCAAAUUCCAGCAAACAGCUGCACUUUUAUGUACACAGAAAAGCACAUGCACGUCAAAGACGCUGUUUUUCCCCACUCCAGGAGAUGCAGCAGGAGCAUGAAGUACAUCAGCACAUUAUUUAAGUACACUGAUUACAUUAAACAGAGCCAUUUGUUUUCAUCUUCACUGCAAACACAUCUGCCUAAGUGCUCCAGCUCUCCAGCUUCACAGGGCGCAUAUGAAGUUUGGAGCAUUAUCCCUGGGGAUUGUGUGCACUUGGAAGAAAGGCAGAGAGAUACAGCAGUUGUUAAGGGAAAAAAAAAAAAGGGUAGUCAAGCCUUUACUAGUCUGACAGUUCCUAAAAUAAUGUUGCUUCCCUGAAGAAUGAACGUGCUUAUCUCUGAUCUACAGAACCUGACUAAAAGGUUGCUUUUCCCUUGCCAGAAGAGCAUCCUUAGAAGUUCCUGAAUGCCUGAGCAGAACUGCUGGACCCUGCCAGAGGACUUCAUGGUAUAAGAAGGCUGCAGAAAGCCACCUUCUCACACGUGACAAGACCCCUUACAUAAUUUAGAGGAUAUACAUUAAAAAAAAAAACACUUUCCUGAAUCAAGGCCUACAAACAAGGCUGCAGAAGGGAGACUAUAUUUUGGCAAUGGUUUUUUUUGUUCAGCUUCAGCUGUCAACUAACUGGCAUGGAGCAGAGCAAUCCAAGAGUACAGCUUUCCUUCCCAGGUAACCAUAUUCCCUCUCCUAAGCAUCCCUUUGCUACAUCUGCAAGGCAAGUCACAAAUUUCUCCUGGCAGCCAGUCACUGGAUGAGCCAGGGCAUUCUCCGUUUCCUGCCAGCACAAAGAGGCACGUGCUGCUGUACAGCCAGAGGAAAAAAGGCUUUCAGAAGUCUCACCCCAGGCUCUCAGCACACAGCACUGAGGUCACAUCUAGCUGUGUGCAGGUCAGGCAACCCCAGUAAUUCCUAGCUUUACUGGAAAGAGAUAUCUCAGCCCCAAAAAAGCCCUCUCAUCUUGGGGAAGAAAGGCACAGGCAGUGCAGAUGGAUGCUGUGUGCUAGAGACGAGUCAUGCAGCAGGUCCUGCUCAAGUCUGUGCUGCACAACACAGGUGUGAUAAACUGUGGUAACUUGUUUGUUCAUCAAAAGAAUUAGAAUAUUAAAGGGGGAAAUAUAAAAUUAAAGUAUAAGGGACCAGCUUGCUUGUUAAGAGAUAGGGGAAGCAUCUGUGAAGUUGGGAAACAGGAAGCAACUGCUACAAACCGCAAGGCUAUAGGCAUAUUGCAAGGCGCAAGACCGCAAGUAUGAUUAAUCAUCAUAUAGGGAGCUUUUCUUAGCUUCUUUUGCAGACACAGGCUAAGGAUAUUGGGGGAUGGCUGGAGCUGAUUGUGAAAUCAGCGACCACCGGGCGGCGGCCACCGGAGUGGACGGCGUAGGAGUGCUCCGGGUACGCCCAUCACUGUCCGGAACCGAUUGUGAAACCAACGAUCACCUGCCUCGACACAACGCAGACACGAUGCAGAGGGAUGCUCAAGCUACGCCCACCGCUAUCGCAAGAGACGCGAAUGAAGGAACCUCCAAGAAACUAUAAAAAGAAACUGAAUAAGGGAGUGGGGUGUGGGGCACUGCAGUGUGGGACACUGCAGGAGGGGCGGUUUGGAGACCCCUACCCACCCAGCGCUGUUUUGCUUGCUACUGCUUGCUGUAAUUAAUAAAAUUCUAAUUGACCUUAAAAAGGCUGAAUCAAAUUAUUCGCCUCAAUUUAUCACACAGGCAGCUCUUGGAGGGAAGGGCUCCAAAAAUCCUGAGCCCAAGCUUGAAGUUUUGUAUUUAAGAAUGUGACAGCAAGAAGGAGGAAAUUCUGAGAGCAAUUUCUCAGCUGGACCAGGGAGUUUUCAAAUCCAUUAGACAACCUCAGAUGCUUUCUGCUGCUUUAACCUUUAGCCCCUUUUACAAGCUGGAAAGGUCACAUCUCAAAUGAGGCAGAACAGUGUGAAUCCAGGAGCCUCUCCACUACACAGCCGGCCGAGGAGGAACAAAUUAUUGGAAUAUUCUGUCUAUUCCAGAAGAAAACACUGGUAGAUCAGUUUCCAAACAAGCUCAUAAAUCUGUAGCUUACAUUUUAAUCUCAGUAAAAGACUCUAUACUACCAGGAAAAGAAAAAUGAUAGGCUUUGGAUUAUGCAAAUCGUGGCUUCUAACCAUUUAUAUUGUAUAUUCCUCCCUUUUUCUUCAGGAUUGCCUGGAAAAUCAUAAGAUGCAGUGGCAGAGAAGAUUUCAGCCCAACUGGAAAACAGAGGCUCACCUGUAACUUUGGCCACUCAGUAUUAAUUAUCAGCUCCACAACUUCUCCAAGGAGCUUUUCCAAUACUUGGGCCUUAGGCAAGCCCCGUGUGGGGUGAAGACACUAUGCCAGGGAACCACUGAGCAGCACAAGGGCAGAGCUCCGGAGGGAUUGGAAGCUGCUGUCUCCAGAAGCAGCAAGGCAGGAGCUAAUUAAAACCCUGUGUGGGAGCCUGCAUGAGGUGUAUGAGAGCACUGGGCACAACAGGCUUUGGAUGUGUGCCCACGUGCAGAAACACUCUAUUUAAAGCAGCAGCACUUUGGGGAAGCGAGGCAGCAUUCAAUUCCUCCUCUAAAAAACCCUCCCUCCCUCAGCAUUCGAUAAGGAGUGGCCAUGGGUUUCCAGUGUUCUUGUCUGACUUAAAGGACUCUUAGAUUUCAGAGGUCACAGACCCAUCAGGGCACAAGAAACAGAAACAAAUAAAAACCAUUUAUCC
This is a long non-coding RNA of Vidua chalybeata, 3606 nucleotides long. RefSeq lists it as uncharacterized. The record is from RefSeq and is a predicted model, not a curated record. Lineage: Eukaryota; Metazoa; Chordata; Aves; Passeriformes; Viduidae. The transcript is spliced from 2 exons.